Molecule: ribosomal RNA, 253 nt
Filed under: uncultured bacterium
Lineage: Bacteria
Description: partial 16S ribosomal RNA
Rfam family: Bacterial small subunit ribosomal RNA
Source: RNAcentral
UACGUAGGGGGCGAGCGUUGUCCGGAAUUACUGGGCUUAAAGGGUGCGUAGGCGGCGCAGAAAGUAGGGUGUGAAAUCCCUCGGCUCAACCGAGGAACUGCGCCCUAAACUACUGUGCUCGAGGGAGGUAGAGGUGAGCGGAACUUAGGGUGGAGCGGUGAAAUGCGUUGAUAUCCUAAGGAACACCGGUGGCGAAAGCGGCUCACUGGACCUCUUCUGACGCUGAGGCACGAAAGCUAGGGUAGCGAACGGG